GUGUAAAAAUAUCUCCUGGAUGUGACAAAAAAAAAUCAUAGAAUAAGUGGUGCAUUAACGCACCACUGGGACAAAAAAGAAAACAUCGAUGCAGUGCGGAAACUGAUUUUGCAGGAUCGUCAUGUGUCUUUGGGCAUUAGGGGGACCAGCAUGUGGCCAGCAUCAGCUCAAAAACAGGCUUGUGUUGAUUGGUCGAAGGAAAUGCUAAAAAAUACGAACGCGGUGCUUCCAAACACGUGACAGGUGAUGAAUCAUGGAUCUAUGCAUAUCUAUGAAAGUAAGCAGCAGUCAACUGUGUGGGUCUUUCGGAAUAAGACAAAGCCCACAAAAGUUGCGAAACAAAUGGCAGACUGUUUUUUCAGGAAAACUGGCCACGUUGCAACUAUUUCUUUGGCAAAUAGUAAAACAGUCAAAUCUGAAUGGUACACAACCAUUUGUUUGCCGAAAGUCUUCGAAGAAAUUAGAAAAACCGACCGCCGAAGAAGAAUCACUCUCCACACCCUCCGAUCUGUGCAAACAAAGAACUUUUUGAGCAUUAAAAACCUUGAUUUGAUGAUGAAUACACCUUAUAGUCCUGAUUUAGCACCCAAUGACUUCUUUUUAUUCCCAUACAUUAAGAAUAAAUUAUGUGGGCAAUGAAUUUGACACCGGAAGAAGCGAUUGAUGCGUUUAAAAAGCAUGUUUUAGAGGUGUCCGAAUCGAUGUUGGGAAAGUGCUUUGAUGAUUGGUUUUAUCGAAUGCAAAAGUGUAUUGAUCAUCAGGGUAUAUAUUUUGAGAAACAGUAAAGUCAUUUUUGUUGGUAGCUAAUAGUUUUUUAUUAUAUAAGGUAGCUCUCGUAUAGCUUAACUCUAUUGAUGAGAAAGUGUCUGUUCUUAAUGAGAAUAUGAACAUUCUCCUGGAUGCUUAUGGUCUGUUGGAUAACAAAAAUUAUGACGUUUUGAAUGUAAAAAAGGACCACAGCGACACGUAAGACAGGCCAGAUGAUGAUGUGUGUGUAAGUUUUCUGCAAUGUUACAACGGAUUUUCUAUUAGUAAAAAUAUCUAAGAAGAUUAUUAUUAUUAGUUCCUAAUUAAAUGGUAAGACAUAUGGCUAAGAAAAUCUUUUUUGACCAUUGGACCAUGGACCAGGAGUGGGAUUAACCCCGUGUUUUGAUUAGCGUCAUGUUGGACACAUAACUAUUUUAAAUUUAAAAUUAUAAAGAAACACAAACAGUAAUUCGUUUUCGGAUAACGCGUCGUGCGAAACGGCAAAUCAACGGGUUUCGCAAAUUGCCAACACUAAUAAUUAACUCUUGAUAAUCGUAAAUUUUUCAACGCGAUAAAUAAGUUGGUACGCUUGCGUGCCAUGCAAAUUUUAUUAUUGCCGAGGUCUCAAAGCAUGCAAAUCGCCUAAUAGAUUUAUCGGCAAUAUAAUUCAUUAAUCCUCUUUAAUUCCAAUUAUCAUCGACGCUCGUACGCCUAUGAGGCAAACUAAUUCGCAAUGGCCGUCGUAAAUAAAUACAAUGGAAUGUUUUACGCUACUUGUCGUUACGCCAAAACCGUCUAGUCUCGGGUUUCCUAAAAUCAAAUGCUGGGAAAUUUGAUUAAAAUCUAAAAACGCAUUUGAAACAAUAAUGCGAGGAGAUCCUUUUUACGUAAAAUUUAAAAAUAAUAAUAAUAAUAAUAAUAAUAAUAGAACAAUAAAUAACUUUAUUGUGGGUACAUUCAAUUAGAAGUUAUA
Cylas formicarius (sweet potato weevil) is the source of this 1720-nucleotide long non-coding RNA. RefSeq lists it as uncharacterized. The transcript is spliced from 3 exons. Lineage: Eukaryota; Metazoa; Arthropoda; Insecta; Coleoptera; Brentidae. The record is from RefSeq and is a predicted model, not a curated record.